Molecule: ribosomal RNA, 506 nt
Filed under: uncultured bacterium
Lineage: Bacteria
Description: partial 16S ribosomal RNA
Rfam family: Bacterial small subunit ribosomal RNA
Source: RNAcentral
AUUGAACGCUGGCGGCAGGCCUAACACAUGCAAGUCGAACGGCAGCACAGAAGAGCUUGCUCUUUGGGUGGCGAGUGGCGGACGGGUGAGUAAUGUCUGGGAAACUGCCCGAUGGAGGGGGAUAACUACUGGAAACGGUAGCUAAUACCGCAUAACGUCGCAAGACCAAAGUGGGGGACCUUCGGGCCCCACACCAUCGGAUGUGCCCAGAUGGGAUUAGCUAGUAGGUGGGGUAAUGGCUCACCUAGGCGACGAUCCCUAGCUGGUCUGAGAGGAGGACCAUCCACACUGGAACUGAGACACGGUCCAGACUCCUACGGGAGGCAGCAGUGGGGAAUAUUGCACAAGGGGCGCAAGGCUGAUGCGGCCAUGCCGGGUGUAUGAAGAAGGCCUUCGGGUUGUAAAGUACUUUCAGCGGGGAGGAAGGCGGUGAGGUUAAUAACCUCGCCGAUUGACGUUACCCGCAGAAGAAGCACCGGCUAACUCCGUGCCAGCCGCCGCCGUAA